This 2904-nucleotide ribosomal RNA is filed under the name Salmonella enterica. Its description in RNAcentral is "bacterial LSU rRNA". It matches the Rfam family "Bacterial large subunit ribosomal RNA". Lineage: Bacteria; Pseudomonadati; Pseudomonadota; Gammaproteobacteria; Enterobacterales; Enterobacteriaceae. The record is from RNAcentral.
UUAAGCGACUAAGCGUACACGGUGGAUGCCCUGGCAGUCAGAGGCGAUGAAGGGCGUGCUAAUCUGCGAUAAGCGCCGGUAAGGUGAUAUGAACCGUUAUAACCGGCGAUACCCGAAUGGGGAAACCCAGUGUGACUCGUCACACUAUCAUUAACUGAAUCCAUAGGUUAAUGAGGCGAACCGGGGGAACUGAAACAUCUAAGUACCCCGAGGAAAAGAAAUCAACCGAGAUUCCCCCAGUAGCGGCGAGCGAACGGGGAGGAGCCCAGAGCCUGAAUCAGCAUGUGUGUUAGUGGAAGCGUCUGGAAAGGCGCGCGAUACAGGGUGACAGCCCCGUACACAAAAGCGCAUGUGCUGUGAGCUCGAUGAGUAGGGCGGGACACGUGGUAUCCUGUCUGAAUAUGGGGGGACCAUCCUCCAAGGCUAAAUACUCCUGACUGACCGAUAGUGAACCAGUACCGUGAGGGAAAGGCGAAAAGAACCCCGGCGAGGGGAGUGAAAAAGAACCUGAAACCGUGUACGUACAAGCAGUGGGAGCACAGGUUUACCUGUGUGACUGCGUACCUUUUGUAUAAUGGGUCAGCGACUUAUAUUCUGUAGCAAGGUUAACCGUAUAGGGGAGCCGUAGGGAAACCGAGUCUUAACCGGGCGUUAAGUUGCAGGGUAUAGACCCGAAACCCGGUGAUCUAGCCAUGGGCAGGUUGAAGGUUGGGUAACACUAACUGGAGGACCGAACCGACUAAUGUUGAAAAAUUAGCGGAUGACCUGUGGCUGGGGGUGAAAGGCCAAUCAAACCGGGAGAUAGCUGGUUCUCCCCGAAAGCUAUUUAGGUAGCGCCUCGUGAAUUCAUCUCCGGGGGUAGAGCACUGUUUCGGCUAGGGGGCCAUCCCGGCUUACCAACCCGAUGCAAACUGCGAAUACCGGAGAAUGUUAUCACGGGAGACACACGGCGGGUGCUAACGUCCGUCGUGAAGAGGGAAACAACCCAGACCGCCAGCUAAGGUCCCAAAGUCAUGGUUAAGUGGGAAACGAUGUGGGAAGGCCCAGACAGCCAGGAUGUUGGCUUAGAAGCAGCCAUCAUUUAAAGAAAGCGUAAUAGCUCACUGGUCGAGUCGGCCUGCGCGGAAGAUGUAACGGGGCUAAACCAUGCACCGAAGCUGCGGCAGCGACGCUUAUGCGUUGUUGGGUAGGGGAGCGUUCUGUAAGCCUGUGAAGGUGGCCUGUGAGGGUUGCUGGAGGUAUCAGAAGUGCGAAUGCUGACAUAAGUAACGAUAAAGCGGGUGAAAAGCCCGCUCGCCGGAAGACCAAGGGUUCCUGUCCAACGUUAAUCGGGGCAGGGUGAGUCGACCCCUAAGGCGAGGCCGAAAGGCGUAGUCGAUGGGAAACGGGUUAAUAUUCCCGUACUUGGUGUUACUGCGAAGGGGGGACGGAGAAGGCUAUGUUGGCCGGGCGACGGUUGUCCCGGUUUAAGCGUGUAGGCUGGUUUUCCAGGCAAAUCCGGAAAAUCAAGGCUGAGGCGUGAUGACGAGGCACUACGGUGCUGAAGCAACAAAUGCCCUGCUUCCAGGAAAAGCCUCUAAGCAUCAGGUAACAUCAAAUCGUACCCCAAACCGACACAGGUGGUCAGGUAGAGAAUACCAAGGCGCUUGAGAGAACUCGGGUGAAGGAACUAGGCAAAAUGGUGCCGUAACUUCGGGAGAAGGCACGCUGACACGUAGGUGAAGUGAUUUACUCAUGGAGCUGAAGUCAGUCGAAGAUACCAGCUGGCUGCAACUGUUUAUUAAAAACACAGCACUGUGCAAACACGAAAGUGGACGUAUACGGUGUGACGCCUGCCCGGUGCCGGAAGGUUAAUUGAUGGGGUCAGCGCAAGCGAAGCUCCUGAUCGAAGCCCCGGUAAACGGCGGCCGUAACUAUAACGGUCCUAAGGUAGCGAAAUUCCUUGUCGGGUAAGUUCCGACCUGCACGAAUGGCGUAAUGAUGGCCAGGCUGUCUCCACCCGAGACUCAGUGAAAUUGAACUCGCUGUGAAGAUGCAGUGUACCCGCGGCAAGACGGAAAGACCCCGUGAACCUUUACUAUAGCUUGACACUGAACAUUGAGCCUUGAUGUGUAGGAUAGGUGGGAGGCUUUGAAGCGUGGACGCCAGUCUGCGUGGAGCCGACCUUGAAAUACCACCCUUUAAUGUUUGAUGUUCUAACGUGGACCCGUGAUCCGGGUUGCGGACAGUGUCUGGUGGGUAGUUUGACUGGGGCGGUCUCCUCCUAAAGAGUAACGGAGGAGCACGAAGGUUGGCUAAUCCUGGUCGGACAUCAGGAGGUUAGUGCAAUGGCAUAAGCCAGCUUGACUGCGAGCGUGACGGCGCGAGCAGGUGCGAAAGCAGGUCAUAGUGAUCCGGUGGUUCUGAAUGGAAGGGCCAUCGCUCAACGGAUAAAAGGUACUCCGGGGAUAACAGGCUGAUACCGCCCAAGAGUUCAUAUCGACGGCGGUGUUUGGCACCUCGAUGUCGGCUCAUCACAUCCUGGGGCUGAAGUAGGUCCCAAGGGUAUGGCUGUUCGCCAUUUAAAGUGGUACGCGAGCUGGGUUUAGAACGUCGUGAGACAGUUCGGUCCCUAUCUGCCGUGGGCGCUGGAGAACUGAGGGGGGCUGCUCCUAGUACGAGAGGACCGGAGUGGACGCAUCACUGGUGUUCGGGUUGUCAUGCCAAUGGCACUGCCCGGUAGCUAAAUGCGGAAGAGAUAAGUGCUGAAAGCAUCUAAGCACGAAACUUGCCCCGAGAUGAGUUCUCCCUGAGACUUAGAGUCUCCUGAAGGAACGUUGAAGACGACGACGUUGAUAGGCCGGGUGUGUAAGCGCAGCGAUGCGUUGAGCUAACCGGUACUAAUGAACCGUGAGGCUUAACCUU